This 518-nucleotide long non-coding RNA is filed under the name Olea europaea subsp. europaea. The record is from RNAcentral. Lineage: Eukaryota; Viridiplantae; Streptophyta; Magnoliopsida; Lamiales; Oleaceae.
UGAUUUGUUGCUAAAAUAUUGGUAUUAAAUUCGAAACUCCCGACAGAUGGCUAGUGGCCCAAAGAAACGAAAGAAUUGGUUACAUUUUUCAUAGGAUCUCCUCUUAUAUAUAGACUCAAAAAUUAAUCAGAGUUCUUUUUGUAUCACUUUGCCUAUUUAUUCUUUUUUUUAUCGAGUCAAAAAAUAUUCGAAUUAUAAAGUAUGAACUACCCCUUGCUGUUGCAACACCUUUUGAAAAAAAAAAAAAAAAAGGUUUCCCUUGGACUACAAACGGGAAAGGAUGAAAGCGAGUCGGUAUGCUAAUUCCUCAUCUACAGAUUAGCCCUUCCUAUAGGGUAUUUUCUCAAUGAAUAAGUAAUUGUGGGAGUUAAAUCUUGAUAUAAUUUGAAAAAACAAACAAGAGGUCCAAGAUAAUAAAAUAUGAAAAAAUGUAUUUUUCAUAUUUAUAAGAUUAAACAAAACGAUUUGCAAAUAAGAGAGUUCAUGCUACAACCAAUAUCAAAUUUUUGUUAAUGGUA